RNAcentral lists this long non-coding RNA (2664 nucleotides) under Vigna radiata. RNAcentral's name for it is "long non-coding RNA (VRAD_LNC017729)". The record is from RNAcentral. Lineage: Eukaryota; Viridiplantae; Streptophyta; Magnoliopsida; Fabales; Fabaceae.
GUGGCAGAAGUUAUAAGUUGCAUUGCUAUUUGAAUCUGCUUCACUGUGCAUAAUUACAUGCAGUUUCAAUUCUGAAUAAUUCGAGUCUGGAAUAUUUGAAUUAAAUUCUGCUUUGUGAGUAGCAAAUGCAUACCAAAUAAGCAAUGAAGGGUUUAGCCUAGCUUGGUUGCAUAUUGUAAAUCUGCAGAAUUUUGUUUGGCCAGCUACACCGAACUGGUACUUCUUUGAAUGUCUUUUAGUGUGUGUCGCUUCUGCUUGGUAUUAGUUCAUUACUAAGCUUUUGUUUAAUCAAUAUCCUAGAGUCAUUCCAAACCAAUUUCUUUUGUUUUUCUUCUAAACUGCAGAACUAAGUUGUUCAAACAUUUGUAAAUCGCUGUUUUGAUCCAAGAUGAAAGUAAAGCAUGUUAGUUGAGAAAAUCAGUCAAAAGAGGCAAAUCCUGAAAAGAAAAAUGAGGAACUGAAUAUUUUAAUUUGAGUAAAAGCCUAUGAAAGGGUGUAAAAUGGCCUUGCGUGAUCAAAACAAGCAUAAAUAAACUUGCUCCAUUGGAUUUCAGUAUGCAAAGGUGUCCAGAACUGAAAAUGCUAACAUUAGCUAAUGGACCAGUUCACUUUUUGCUUCUGAAAUUCUGAUUUCAACAACCAGUUCUGUGAUUUCUUGUUGUGUCUUUUCUUGUCUUUAAAAUCUGUUCUAGUGCUAUUCUUUAGGUUCUAUUUGCUGUGCUUAUUUUCUUGAUAGCUUUGAUUUUUGUUUGCUUGUCAAUUGUUUGGCUAUCUUGGUUUUGUCCAAUACACGUGUAAGUCUGUUCAGCUGUUCAUAAUUGAAGCUUUUCUUUGCUUUAUGAUCUAAUCUAAAGUCUGAUCUAGAGCCUCUUGAAUUGGAUUGCUGUCCUGAUUCUGUAUUGCCUGCCUUUACUUAGCAUAGCCAAUCUAGUUUGAGAAGCAUGUUCACUCUUUGGUUUUUGGAAUUUGGAAAGGGGUUUGUGUGCUUGGUAGCAUCUUAGGUGGUGGUGGUCUAAAAGACUCUCCAGCCCUGAACUAACAAGGGGGAAUCUCCCUUCCAACCCUUUCUAUUUUGAGUGCUUUGAGCUUCCAGAGUUGAACUUGUUGUUGUGAGCUUUGUGUGGAUGCAAUUAAAGUCAAUAUAUUUGUUGAGAGCGUGUUUUAUUCAAUUUCUUGAAUCUGAAUUUUGCUGACCAACUAGAAUUGCAUAGUUUUGGCUUUGAUUGUCAUUCACAAGUGGUGCUUAGAAGAAGUGAGUUACAAUUAGCUACAGCAGUGUAAAAAGUUGAGCCAGAAAUCUCAUGUUGGAUAAAGAGGAGUCACAAACACUUGCUGUAGUAACACUGAUGAGUAUACCAGAACCCUCACUGGGAUCAGUUUGGAACAUCAACAGAUGCUAGCUUAAGCCAACAGAGGCAGAAACACUUCACGUGGUAGUGUUGAACUAAAGGGAGUCUUUUAUCUUAAAUUGUUUCUGUUUUUGGUUGAAUUAGUCCUGUUGUAGCUGCCAUUGUUUAGCAUUUCUUGAAGUGUGGAAUCUGGUAUGAUAUUUGUUGCAGACUAGGAUUAGCCAACUUGAAUUUUGAAUUGAAUCUCUUCUACAUUGUAUGGCAUUAAUUUGGUUUCAACCCUGAAUCACAUUCAUUUGCAUCUGGCUAAAGGUACGUGUUCCUUGUGUAUGUGCUGCUGGCUUAGGUGUGAUCUGUGUGUAGAGAUGAAUUGUUGGGAUAAUUAGUUUGAGUUGGUUGUUAAGCAAAUUUCAGUUUUGUCAAAUUGAUUGAUUGAAUACCAUUGCAUGCCACCUAGUUCUCUGUGUUAGCUGUGCAUGAAAUAAUUAAGUAUCUGCUGUUUGGAUCAAAACUGAUUUCAUGACUUAAGAAUAAUUUCUGAAUUGAAAAAAAAAACUGACUGGUUUGGUAGUUUAAUCUGCACCAUAAAUCUGGCAUGAUUUACAUUUUCCUUUGCGUUAGUUGGAUGAUGCUGUCACUUUAAGUGCAGAUUGAUUUGUUGAAAUUUAGUUUGAGACCAUUCAUAGAGAGCAGAAGCAAUUCUUUUAGCUGCAUCAAGGCAAAAGACCGAGAAAUGGAGGUGUGAUUGCAGGAUAUCCAACAGCAACAGAUUGAAGCUGCAAGAUUGAGCACGAGAUUCUGGAAAGCAUUGGGCAAGAUCUGGGCACAAAAUAGUUGGACCGUAGCUUAGGAUUGAAUGUUUUGUAAUUUUUUAUUUUUCUGUGUAUUUGAUGGGCUUGUGUCAGCCCAAUGUCUUUGUUAGUUUUAUUUUCNAUGGGCUUGUGUCAGCCCAAUGUCUUUGUUAGUUUUAUUUUCUGGUUUGUAAAGGGCCUUUUAUAAAGUCCAAGUAUUUGGAAGAGUCCUUGGUGUUCUUUUCAGAUCUUGGCAACUUUAAUUGUUUUAAUUGUAGCAUAGCGAGACAUAGGAGUAUGCAUGUGUUUGAUUUUCACGUGUAGAGUCCGUAUGUUUUUAGGGGUCUUAGAGUCCGUGUUCUUUGUUUGUUUCUUUUGAGUCUUGUACUUUGAUUUUAAAAGUAAUUUUACUUUAAAGGAUGUCUAGGAUUAGUGAGUCUGAGAAGCAAUAUCUUCUUAAGAAACUAAUGAAACAAAUUGGGAAUAUUAAAGAAAGCUUGAAUCAAGAUAGGUUUAAUAGGGAG